UACGUAGGGCGCAAGCGUUAUCCGGAAUUAUUGGGCGUAAAGAGCUCGUAGGCGGUUUGUCGCGUCUGCCGUGAAAGUCCGGGGCUCAACUCCGGAUCUGCGGUGGGUACGGGCAGACUAGAGUGAUGUAGGGGAGACUGGAAUUCCUGGUGUAGCGGUGAAAUGCGUAGAUAUCUGGAGGAACACCGGUGGCGAAGGCGGCAUCCUGGACCACGACUGACGCUGAGGAGCGAAAGCCAGGGGAGCAAACGGG
RNAcentral lists this ribosomal RNA (253 nucleotides) under uncultured bacterium. RNAcentral describes it as "partial 16S ribosomal RNA". It matches the Rfam family "Bacterial small subunit ribosomal RNA", at positions 524 to 776 of the family's 1533-position model. The record is from RNAcentral.